AUGCAAGACUGGGAAUAUACCAUUUCACAGAAUAGCAUUUACCUGAGCUCCUGGAGGCUUGCGCUCCGGCGCGACGGAGUUGAGCCCGUCGCCACAGCUGUGUCCGGGAAGUGGAGUCUGGUGCACUCACGCAACGGCGUCAAGGAUGCCAUCCACUACAAUGGCAGGUUCUACUCGAUCACAUACUUCGGCGAAGUGGAGGCAUGGGAGGAGUGCGGCGCCGAUGACCCAGGUGUGUUCGCAAGUGUGGUGAUCGCGCCGAGGCUGCUGCUGCCAGCCGACACCGAGCACCGCAAGUACCUAAUGGCGGCGCCGGGCGGGCCGCUGAUGGUCGUGCUCAAGGAGGGCCGGCGGACGUCUCCAUCCUUCAAGGUGCAGGUCCUCGGUGCCGGCGGCAAGGAGUGGAAGGUGACGGACGACAUCGGCGAAACAGCGCUGUUCGUUGGGGGGAACGGUUCCUUCUGCGUGUCCACGACGGAGCACCCGGAGCUCAGGGCCGGCUGCGCCUACUACACCGAGGACGAUCCGGGGCCAUACAAGGAUGCUCGCGACCGCUACUACAAUGGCAUUAAUUGGGGUAUUCAGCCUCAAGGAUGGCAGCCGGGAGAAGGUCGAGGGCCUUGCGCUGGUCGCCACCAGUGUGGUUCAUGCCCUCCGUCCCAUUGUGAUGGAUACUGUGACUGA
This 684-nucleotide ribosomal RNA is filed under the name Triticum aestivum (bread wheat). RNAcentral's name for it is "partial small subunit ribosomal RNA". The record is from RNAcentral. Lineage: Eukaryota; Viridiplantae; Streptophyta; Magnoliopsida; Poales; Poaceae.